AGAGGGUGCAAGCGUUAAUCGGAAUUACUGGGCGUAAAGCGCGCGUAGGUGGUUUGUUAAGUUGGAUGUGAAAUCCCCGGGCUCAACCUGGGAACUGCAUUCAAAACUGACAAGCUAGAGUAUGGUAGAGGGUGGUGGAAUUUCCUGUGUAGCGGUGAAAUGCGUAGAGAUCGGGAGGAACAUCAGUUGCGAAGGCGGCUCUCUGGACCAUCACUGACACUGAGGCACGAAAGCGUGGGGAGCAAACAGGAUUAGAUACCCUGGUAGUCCACGCCCUAAACGAUGCGAACUGGACGUUGGGCUCAAUUAGGAGCUCAGUGUCGAAGCUAACGCGUUAAGUUCGCCGCCUGGGGAGUACGGUCGCAAGACUG
This 371-nucleotide ribosomal RNA is filed under the name uncultured bacterium. Its description in RNAcentral is "bacterial SSU rRNA". It matches the Rfam family "Bacterial small subunit ribosomal RNA", at positions 527 to 896 of the family's 1533-position model. The record is from RNAcentral.